This 252-nucleotide ribosomal RNA is filed under the name uncultured bacterium. Its description in RNAcentral is "partial 16S ribosomal RNA". It matches the Rfam family "Bacterial small subunit ribosomal RNA", at positions 524 to 776 of the family's 1533-position model. The record is from RNAcentral.
UACGUAGGGGGCAAGCGUUGUCCGGAAUUAUUGGGCGUAAAGCGCGCGCAGGCGGUUUUUUAAGUCCGGGGUUUAAAUCCAGGGCUCAACCUUGGGUCGCACGGGAAACUGGGAGACUGGAGUGCAGGAGAGGGAAGCGGAAUUCCACGUGUAGCGGUGAAAUGCGUAGAGAUGUGGAGGAACACCAGUGGCGAAGGCGGCUUCCUGGCCUGUAACUGACGCUGAGGCGCGAAAGCGUGGGGAGCAAACAGG